Molecule: unclassified non-coding RNA, 197 nt
Filed under: plant metagenome
Description: partial contains small subunit ribosomal RNA, internal transcribed spacer 1, and 5.8S ribosomal RNA
Source: RNAcentral
UCUCCGUUGGUGAACCAGCGGAGGGAUCAUUACCGAGUUUACAACUCCCAAACCCCUGUGAACAUACCUAUCGUUGCCUCGGCGGUGCCCGCUCCGGCGGCCCGCCAGAGGACCCCCAAACUCUUGUUUUAAACAGUAUCUUCUGAGUAACACGAUUAAAUAAAUCAAAACUUUCAACAACGGAUCUCUUGGUUCUG